UACGUAGGGGGCUAGCGUUGUCCGGAUUUAUUGGGCGUAAAGAGCUCGUAGGCGGCUUGGCAAGUCGGGUGUGAAAACUUCAGGCUCAACCUGGAGCGGCCACUCGAUACUGCUAUGGCUUGAGUCCGGUAGGGGACCACGGAAUUCCUGGUGUAGCGGUGAAAUGCGCAGAUAUCAGGAGGAACACCAGUGGCGAAGGCGGUGGUCUGGGCCGGAACUGACGCUGAGGAGCGAAAGCGUGGGUAGCAAACAGG
RNAcentral lists this ribosomal RNA (254 nucleotides) under uncultured bacterium. Its description in RNAcentral is "partial 16S ribosomal RNA". It matches the Rfam family "Bacterial small subunit ribosomal RNA", at positions 524 to 776 of the family's 1533-position model. The record is from RNAcentral.